UAAACUACAAGCAUGCUUUCUCAAACCUUGGAAAAGAUAUCCACCUGUCUGCAGAUUUGGCCUGCAUUACUCCUGCAUCUGAGCCUCCUGCAAGCUUGCUUUGGGAAUGCCUACUAGUUUUGCUGGUGCGAGCAGAGGAAUCAUUCAUUCUCAGCCAUCCUUUGCUGCUGUGACACAAGGAGAGGUGUGCUGCCUUGCUGAGCUUAACCCCAGGACGAUGAGACCUGUCUGCACCCUGCAACAACAAAAAACAGCAGGUCAGUGGGGCUCACUCUGCUCUCAAGAGGCUGGUGUGUUCCUUGUGUCUGGGGACGCUGAUUUAAGCUGUGAGUGGUUGGCAAUUUCACAAGUAAAGCAAUAGUGUGUGCAUCCCAAGAGGAAGGAACGAAGGCUCUGAAUGAAAGCGAGCACCUCAAUGUCAGGUAGAAGCUGCUCAGUACUGUUUGGAAAGUGGACAGGUUGCUGAGUUGCAGUUCCAAAGCUGAGCUGUAUUCAAGUAAGCAGCCCACUCCUAAAAGCAAGUUCCUUGCCUCAACAACCCCCUGCAGCAUUAAGAGGAUCAGUACUCAGAGUGCUGUAUCCCCACCUGACUGCCUCAUUCGCUUCUCAAGGAACAGAAGAAGUGGAGCAAGAGCCAAAAAAAACCAAACACCCAAGUAUUCCUCACUUCUUUGCUACCUUUAAAAAAGUGGCACCAAUUUAAUUAGUUUUUCACCCUCCAGGGCUGUAAGUUCUUGUAUAAUUAGAUGAUGGGUAAUGAUCAUACAACAUUUUGUUCUCAUAUAGCACACGGGUUCCAUCACUGAGAUUGUUUCAUAGGUAUUUCCAGUUACAGCUCCAGGCUGUCACCCAGCAGUGCUAUAGGGAGCCCUGGCCUCUCCCUCCCCUUUUACAAGACCUUCUUACUAUCUGCCAGCAUUACAGGUGCUUGCAUAAAUCGCCUCAGCUUUUAGCAGACUUGCCAAAGGGCAGUUUGAAGUAGUGCUGACACACACUACAGUGGGAAAAGGCAAAACUGGAAUGUUCCAAGGGAGCUGAGUGGCUGGGCACUCCCCAAAAUAUCGCUUCUCAUGUCUUUAAUGCCACCCUUGUCCUUCGCGCUUUGGCAGGAAAGCCAACGUCAAGCUCACACUGUGUGAUUCGGAAUGGGAAUUUAUUGGACAACAGUGAAGUUCAGAUUUGGAACAGCCCCCAGAAGGGCUGCUCUGCUAACGAAAGCGCCUGAUGCAAGUCAGGACUUACAGGAUGUACUUGUGUUGAGGUCAGCAACUGUCAAUUAAUUAAUUCAUUAAAAUACUUGGAGAGAUUUAAAAUGGGCACGCAGCGCAAACAUGCAUGCGAGAGGAUCCUGAAACCACUUCAGCUUUAGGGCAAACAAAAACCAGAUGGGAGAUGGGUGCGGUGAUGUAAAGGUGUAGGCAAUGGGCUGGUAUCUAUCAUUAUUCCUGCAGCUACAAUUUAAUUGCUGUACCUCAGUUUUUUUUAAGUUACGAGAAGGAGCACAAGUUCUGCAGUUAGAAGGUGCCCCUCAGCAUCAUCCUAAAGCUGUUAGAGAUGCACGAUGUGCUUUAUUCAUCACCUAGAAGAGAACAUGUUUCCCUCGACUUUAGUAUCAAGAACUGCUUUCAGAAAAACCCCUUCAAACGAAGAUGCAAAGUCUUACACUUCCUCUCCGCCCUGAGCAUCUCUUUGCACCAAAAACACCAAAGCAGAACCCUGCAUGUGGGCACAAGGAAGGCCCUGCUCCAGCUGUUGGGGAUGUGCAGAUGUGCGUUAUGACCUUGGUUUGUGCACUUAGUUGGGAACAACGGGAUGCAACAACAGGUUAAAGAAAGGUAAGGUACCCACCUGUGGGAUGUUAUUUAAAGCCUAUCUAUCUCAAUACUGUAAUGAAGCAGAGGUGAGAGGCUACAGUAGCACCUACUCAAAAAAGCAGUAUUUUUUUUUCCCUUGAGCUCUGUGAUGACAAUGACUUAUCCCAAAAGGACAGCGCAUAAACUGUAGGGAGGAAUUCACUAUUGAAAACACUGACAAGCAGACAGUGGCUGAGCUUUCCCCACAAAAGCCAAGCCAUGUCAGGCAAACCAAGCCAAAGCAGGGAGAGUGGGGAGCGUGUGUUAUCAUGGCUGCACAGAGGCAAAGCCUGGCUUUCUCCUCACCUACAAAUGAAAUCAGAAUUGUAGGUGGGAUCUUUUCUUCCCCUGUCUCUUGAAACCCUGUCUGCAACCUGUAUCUAAGAUGGCACACAGCUGGCCUAGCCCUCAAGACGGAUCCACCCAGAGCCAAACUACACGUUGGGUUACUGUAUGAAAACCAAAGUCAUUGUCUGCUGGAGACACAGUGCCUGGGCAAUAUCCAUACAGAACAGCAGGUACAAACGUGCUACGAUGUAGAAGCUGAAUGAGCUCACUUCAAAGCCAGAUAAAUGGAUUUCUUCCACAACAGAACGCCAUUAUGUGGCUAUCACACAUAGCCAGGGUCACUGAAAUCAAGCAGGCAUAUAGCUUGAACUAGGCAAGAUUCCUCUCCAAGGCUACGUAUUAAUAUAAAUAUAUAUAUACAUACUCACACACACAUAUAUAUAUAUACACGUUAAUUUAAACUUGGAUAGGAGGAGGCAGAUGUUGGCUAGGGAAUGGAGAUGGGGUGCUUUUCUCACUCUGUGACAGCGAUCAAUAGGAAACAUGUUACUCUGUCACAUCACAUUCCCUCAGCAUAAGCAGCUGGUGAUAGUUUCAUGAUGAAAGUUAUGUUAGAAAAAAGCCUGACAAAACUGCGAUUUCCCAAAGGAAACAAAGCAAACGUCAUCUACUUCGAAAAAAAAUCUGAUUUUAUUUUGAUAUUGCAAAGACCUGUCCAUUUAAAUAGAUGUUUAUUUCCAUUCAUGGUCUCAACCAGCGCUGCGUGUUAACAUGCUGUUCAGAGCUGUAUAAAAAAGCCAUUUGUGUUACAUAGGUUUAACAUCCUAGAACACUGCGGGAGGGGUUUGAAGCGGCUUAACAUUAAAAAUAGGAUAGUCCCAAAAAAACUUACAACUGAUGCAGCAUCUUCUAGUCUAAUUUGAUAGGAGCUGAAGCACAUUGCAGAUAUAACCAAAGUUAUUUGGUCUUUAAAAAAAAACACACACAAAACCAAAAAACCAUUAAAAGCAGAUCACUUUCAUAUAGUGCUUCAAUAGUGAAGCUGUCAGCUGAGAGAACAAGGGAACAAACACACGCUCCUGUGUGCUAACACAUACACAAACACCGAGCCCAACUGGAACAACCCCAUUCAGCGUGUGGAUAUCGCAUUCAUUCUUCUGAAUUCAGGACAGCUGUAAUUUAAUACACUUUGUCUUUCCUCUCCCCACCCCAAAUAAAUACAUGGUCUUCAUGAAAUCCUAAGAUACCGUAUAAUCAACUGACAUUUCUUUCUAACGGUGCUGUGAAGUUCUCUUGUGAAAGGGCCAAAUUCCAAAGCCUUCAUUCAAGAUGACAGGCACGUACCUGACCAAAUGAUGAAGAGGGGAGAACGUGGCUUAGAAAAGGGGUUUGGGUCCAGGUCUGGAUUUGUACAACUGAUCAGGUGGCAGAUUGUCAUUCAAAAAAAAAAAAAAAAAAAAAAUUAAAAAAAAUGUUUUUUAAGUCAUUCUUUGGUUUAUUUACAUGAUUCUCAACGCUGUCCAGAAAGCCCAGAGACAGUCACAUGAGAAACCAGAACUCUAAAGCAAGCGCAGCAUUCUUAAAUCUCAUGUAUUAAAUGCUCAGAAGACUAGAGGAAUUCAGAACACCCCUUACAUUCAUGUCCCCAAAAAUCUACUAACUGCAUGAGUGCAUGCACUGAGGCAUGGCCGGCAUGCCUGCAAAUCCAUAUUGUUCAAGUUAAGAGUAAAUAUAGAUGCAAAAACCCCACCCACCUAUAAUUAAAUGGUCAUUACUAGCAAUACUGUAGCAUCUGUCUUGUUGUUUAAGAAAUGCAGACACGGUCUCUGCCUGUUUGGCUCCCUUGGCCAAAAGGAAGCUGUCUGCUCCAUUUAGAAAGAAAGCGACUUUGAAGAAUCCAAGGGAGUUUAAUAUUUCCACGUUCCAGCGGUCAAUUAUUCAUGUAAAGAUGUAGACAAAUGGCAAGUGUAUGAAAGCACAUCUCGUACGUUCCAAGGUUUGGAAGUCAAAAGCAGGUCUUAGCUUCCUCACGUUUAAAUGUUACGGUAGGCUUGGAAAACGAAGGAAGAAGCAAUGUAAUAUUUCCAUGAAGAGCAAGUAGAACUAAAUCUAACCGGCAUUCGUAUGUGAGCAGUUUUUGCUAUGCUUUGUGUAAGGCAGAUUUUAUUGUGCUGAUAGUUACCGGUUUGCUGGGGGGAAAGAAAAUACAGGCAACUCUGCUCAGAGAAGAUGGCUGAUAAUUACUAGUGACAACUGCUAGUUUUCAGUACAACUCAGCUUUAAUGUACUUUCUGGAAACAGCAUUUUCGUCAUUGGUUUUCACUUCCUUCCCCAUCCCACCUAAAGUAUCCAAAAAAUCAGAAUGAGUUGCGGAUAUUUACCAACCAAUGUCUCCUCUUUGAAUGCUAUUUUUAACUAGAACAAACACGGCUCAUUCUUUAUAACCUACCGCCAGUGGUUGUUUAUAAACAUCUGCUUGCUGCAAUAAACACCGGUCAUUGAAAUAUUCAUUCGCAAGAACUACUUGGCACUAGGUUAAUAUACUUGUAAAGUUUAAUACAAGUGCUUCUGAUGUACAUACAAGCACUUAAAAACAUUUUAAAACUUCGUUUGGGGAGUUUUAAUAUCUUUAAUUACAGUUUUCACAAGCAUUUCUGAAAGUAUUCAAUCUCUUUAGAAGUUCAGAGGCUCCUCUCAGCACAUCUAAAUAAGUUUCUCAACAGUUACAGAACAGCUAACGCGACAUUCUUGCUCCCUGUGCUGAGAUAACACAGUACCAAAACGUAGCUACAAAAAGAGGCAUUUUUGGUCGGACUGACCUCCAGCCAUCCCUUAACAGAAAAGCAACACGGCUCAAACCUGUCUCCUCCCUCCAAAGUAAAAAAAAAAAAGAAAGACAUCUAAGGCCACAAAUUUACUUUAGCCAGAAUAUCCGGUGUUCCCUGGUUUGUGGCAACUGUGUACAUGCCCGCUUAGAGAAAUACAGUAUGGAAGCCCCACCACCUCUAAGGGUUCUAAUACAUCACCUCAGAAGCCAGUUUUAGGCAGCAGGGCAUAUAGAACCACGUUACAUCGACGAAGUGUGUUAAAGCCAUUGCAGCUAGUUGAACCAGUUUCUAACUAUGCUUAAUCAAAAUUCCUUAUUGCAGGAAAGGAGAGGGGAAAAAAAAAAAAGUCUUAA
This is a long non-coding RNA of Coturnix japonica (Japanese quail), 5322 nucleotides long. RefSeq lists it as uncharacterized. The record is from RefSeq and is a predicted model, not a curated record. NCBI's taxonomy places the organism in Eukaryota, Metazoa, Chordata, Aves, Galliformes, Phasianidae.